GACGAACGCUGGCGGCGUGCUUAACACAUGCAAGUCGAACGAUGAACCGGUUUCGGCCGCGGAUUAGUGGCGCACGGGUGAGUAACACGUGGGCAAUCUGCCCUGCACUCUGGGAUAAGCCCGGGAAACUGGGUCUAAUACCGGAUACGACACUCCGAGGCAUCUUGGGGUGUGGAAAGUUCCGGCGGUGCAGGAUGAGCCCGCGGCCUAUCAGCUUGUUGGUGGGGUAAUGGCCUACCAAGGCGACGACGGGUAGCCGGCCUGAGAGGGUGACCGGCCACACUGGGACUGAGACACGGCCCAGACUCCUACGGGAGGCAGCAGUGGGGAAUAUUGCACAAUGGGCGAAAGCCUGAUGCAGCGACGCCGCGUGAGGGAUGACGGCCUUCGGGUUGUAAACCUCUUUCAGCAGGGAAGAAGCGAAAGUGACGGUACCUGCAGAAGAAGCACCGGCUAACUACGUG
RNAcentral lists this ribosomal RNA (464 nucleotides) under uncultured bacterium. RNAcentral's name for it is "partial 16S ribosomal RNA". It matches the Rfam family "Bacterial small subunit ribosomal RNA", at positions 28 to 507 of the family's 1533-position model. The record is from RNAcentral.